RNAcentral lists this ribosomal RNA (426 nucleotides) under uncultured bacterium. RNAcentral describes it as "partial 16S ribosomal RNA". It matches the Rfam family "Bacterial small subunit ribosomal RNA", at positions 35 to 507 of the family's 1533-position model. The record is from RNAcentral.
GCUGGCGGCAUGCCUAACACAUGCAAGUCGAACGAGACCUUCGGGUCUAGUGGCGCACGGGUGCGUAACGCGUGGGAAUCUGCCCUUGGGUUCGGAAUAACAGUUGGAAACGACUGCUAAUACCGGAUGAUGACGUAAGUCCAAAGAUUUAUCGCCCAAGGAUGAGCCCGCGUAGGAUUAGCUAGUUGGUGAGGUAAAGGCUCACCAAGGCGACGAUCCUUAGCUGGUCUGAGAGGAUGAUCAGCCACACUGGGACUGAGACACGGCCCAGACUCCUACGGGAGGCAGCAGUGGGGAAUAUUGGACAAUGGGCGAAAGCCUGAUCCAGCAAUGCCGCGUGAGUGAUGAAGGCCUUAGGGUUGUAAAGCUCUUUUACCCGGGAUGAUAAUGACAGUACCGGGAGAAUAAGCUCCGGCUAACUCCGUG